GAUGAACGCUGGCGGCGUGCCUAAUACAUGCAAGUCGAACGGACGGACGAUAAGCUUGUGUCGCUGCUGUUAGCGGCAGGCGGGUGAGUAACGCGUGGAUCCCCUACUUCUCUUUCUGGGAUAACUUCGUGACACCGGAGAUUAUACCAGAUCAUAUUUUGAACCGCGGGGUUCAAAGGUGAUUGACGGUCUUUCUGUCACUUAUAGCUGUUUCCGCGCUGCCUGAGCUGGUUGGUAAGGUACCGGCUUACCAAGGCAACGAUGCAUAGCCGAAGUGAGAGGGUGAUCGGCCACACUGGAGGUGAGACAGGGUCCAGACUCCUACGGGAGGCAGCAGUAGGGAAUGGUCGGCAAUGGGCGAAAGCCUGACGGAGCAACGCCGCGUGAGUGAUGAAGGUCUUCGGAUCGUAAAACUCUGUUGUUAGGGAAGAACAGAUGUGGAAGUAAAUGUGGAGAUCGUGACGGUACCGAAUCAAGAAGCACCGGCUAACUACGUG
Molecule: ribosomal RNA, 497 nt
Filed under: uncultured bacterium
Lineage: Bacteria
Description: partial 16S ribosomal RNA
Rfam family: Bacterial small subunit ribosomal RNA
Source: RNAcentral